GGCAAAGUUCUGGAGAAUCCUUGGACCCUCUCCAACUGUCACACUGCCCUGGACUUCAGGAGCCACCCAUGGAGACGUGGAUAGUAGAUGCUGGGGCCAGCUCUUAUCUUGACAUGUGCUAGGAUGGCUGGCAUGCAUCACUAUGCCAGGUUUUGUACAGUGCUGGGAAUGAGACCCAGGGCUCAAUCAUGUCAGGACAUCAGUCACCUGUUUGAGAAGCCUCUGGACCACCUUUGGAGAAAUGUGCUUUUGAGCCAGCAGACACCUUGCUGAGAUUGUCCAUUUGUAAUGAUCAUCAUUAAAGUCGAUGUCAUUAAAAUCA
Phodopus roborovskii (desert hamster) is the source of this 322-nucleotide long non-coding RNA. RefSeq lists it as uncharacterized. The transcript has 3 exons. The record is from RefSeq and is a predicted model, not a curated record. Lineage: Eukaryota; Metazoa; Chordata; Mammalia; Rodentia; Cricetidae.